Molecule: ribosomal RNA, 497 nt
Filed under: uncultured bacterium
Lineage: Bacteria
Description: partial 16S ribosomal RNA
Rfam family: Bacterial small subunit ribosomal RNA
Source: RNAcentral
GAUGAACGCUGGCGGCGUGCCUAAUACAUGCAAGUCGAGCGAACAGAUGAGGAGCUUGCUCCUUUGACGUUAGCGGCGGACGGGUGAGUAACACGUAGGUAACCUACCUAUAAGACUGGGAUAACUUCGGGAAACCGGAGCUAAUACCGGAUAAUAUUUCGAACUGCAUGGUUCGAUAGUGAAAGAUGGCUUUGCUAUCACUUAUAGAUGGACCUGCGCCGUAUUAGCUAGUUGGUAAGGUAACGGCUUACCAAGGCAACGAUACGUAGCCGACCUGAGAGGGUGAUCAGCCACACUGGAACUGAGACACGGUCCAGACUCCUACGGGAGGCAGCAGUAGGGAAUCUUCCGCAAUGGGCGAAAGCCUGACGGAGCAACACCGCGUGAGUGAUGAAGGUCUUCGGAUCGUAAAACUCUGUUAUUAGGGAAGAACAAACGUGUAAGUAACUGUGCACGUCUUGACGGUACCUAAUCAGAAAGCCACGGCUAACUACGUG